Long non-coding RNA from Mesocricetus auratus (golden hamster), 2423 nucleotides. RefSeq lists it as uncharacterized. NCBI's taxonomy places the organism in Eukaryota, Metazoa, Chordata, Mammalia, Rodentia, Cricetidae. The transcript has 2 exons. The record is from RefSeq and is a predicted model, not a curated record.
UUCCCAGCGGCGGUGCGUCCCCGCGCGGUGGCACCGAAGACUUACAUAGACGCCGUGCGCGGCGCCCAGCAGCGCCGAUGCGGAUAGCAGGAGCAGCGUGCACAGCGGGGCCCGGAGCAUGACGGCGAUCGGGAGCCUGGGUGACUGAAAAGCAGCUGUAUCAGAGAAGCGUGCCGCCCGCCCACAGACUGCUGAGGAAUGUAUCACAGGGUCUGGACUGCUCAACCUUCCUCAUCUUGUGCACUCAGCAUUCCCCAAGAUCCUGAGGAGCCGGCUGCAGGGAGGAGUGGCAUCCGGAACCCCAGGUGAAGGACGCCUCCCUGUCACGGCUUUGCUUAGUUCGCUCUGUGGCUGCAAGACCCAAGUAUCGUUCGAUCCCCUCAGCGACUUCUGCUUCCUGAUGACGACCACAAUCAUUUGAGAAGGAAACUGUGACACCACAGCCCUCCACCCCUUCCUCCAGCUCUUAAAUUCUUUCUGCUGCCUCUUCAGUCAAGUUCAGUCUUGGGGGGGGGAAUGCAGAUAUGAUUCUUUCCUGAUCACCAAAAACAACAGCUGCCUGUCUAUCCCCAAGAGCCUGACUGGUCAUCAGUCUCCGCAAUCACCUCCACCCAUUCCAGAAAAGAGUUUCCCUGGACCUCAGCUGAAAAUCCCUGAUUGGAUGUAAAGACCAGCGGUCGCCCAUCUACCGAAACGACAGCCUUAGCCACCCGCUGGUGCGGACCAGUAGCCAGCCCCAGGGUUUUGCCCUGGCAUACCGUACCAAACUUGAGUUUCCAACUCGGAGUGGGUGCGGUCCUAAAUCCAACCGAAAGAAGUUGGGUGCACCCAUAACUGUCAUGACACUUCUGCAAGUAGAGUGAAUGCCUUGCCCACGUGUCGGUGAUGUGGCGAGUGAGAUCCGGGACUGAGCAGGACCGACCCGCGACCAUUCUUUCCUACCGGUACUGUGUGUGCCGGCCCCCAGCUCUGCCCAAGUCUCCGUGUCCUGCAACCAGAGGAUGUAAUGUUUGGGCAAGACGGAUUUGUCACCCAGUUCCGGUGUGCAGCCACCGACCGUGGUUCUGUUGUGUUGAGUCGCGGGGCUGUCUGGGUUAGCCCCGCGCUCGGGAGCCGCGAGUUGAGGACUGGUGUUUGCGGGGCUGUGAUCCCGACCAGUCGAACAGCCCCCGGGUGGGGGAGUGUGGAUGAGGGAAAGGGUUAGCUAUAGGUAGUGAAGGAGAGACAGAGGCAUGGGAUAGUAGUGUCAGGAGGGCAGAUUCAGUCAAUACUGAACACCGCCCGGUUUAUUCACACGUCAUCUUAAGUAACCAACCAAAAGCGGGGACAAUGGCAGAAGACUUCUCUUAUGUAUAAAGGACAGAGAGCAAUUACCCCCUUAAUCCUAAAGGCACUGCUAGCUGCAGUUCCAAUUGGUCUUCAGGCACUACAAAGCUGCACACAUCACCUAGCCUUCAGGGUGAGUGUAAACUGGCCUGGGCCUAGGUCUGAGGUCAUUUAGAUAGGAGUCACUCACCACUGAGGCCAGGGCAUCCUGUAGUCAGCUAAUAUCUUAAACACAAUAGGAGUGCCUUGAGCUCUCAGAUGGAAUAGAUUUCCAAUAUACAGGCUCCCACAGUGUUGCUUUGGGGGAACUGAUUUAUUAUCUCAUUUCUCCUGGAGGACUGGUGGACAAAUGCCUAUUCACACAGACAUGGUGUCAACCCACAGAAAUGGUUCCAUCCAAGUACAUCUUGGUGAACCAGAGUUUACUAGGGUUACAAACAGACGCGCCUGUUACUCGGCGACAGCCGCACCGUGGCAAAGACAUGAUCGGUCACCCACAAAAGCUGCCUCACUGGAGUCCCCACCCCUGAUUAUCCUUAGUUCGUGCUCUGCUGAGAUAGAGAUUAGAAUAUGAAAUUCACUUAGUCAUGGAGGUCGUCACCAGACUGAUGAGUAUCUGGAAGGCUGCACAGACAACAUGGCGGGCGAGUGGUUGUGUAAAGAAUUCGACCCAUUGACUAGAUAACACCAUAUCUCAAAGUCAUUUUCAUUGUUCAUUAUUGUUAGCUAGUUUUUCAAGACAGGGUUUCUUUGUGUAGCCUUGGCUGCCCUGGAACUCACUCUGUAGACCAAGUUGGCCUUAAACUCACAGAGAUCCGACUGCCUCUGCCUCUCCAGUGCUGGGAUUAAAGGUGUGCACCAUAACUUCCUGGCUAGUGUUCUUGUUUGAUAAUGACCCACAAAGGAUUAAGUAAUAUUUUUCACUUGGGAGGUGGUGUCAAGGGGAGCAGAAGUUAAAGGUUAUCAUUGUCUGUAUAGAGAAUUCAAGGUCAGCUUGGUUUACGUGAGACCUUAUCUGUUUUUUAAAAAGGUUUGGUUUUUUGUUGUUGUUGUUGAUUUAUUAAUUUGAUCAUUACAGUGGGUAUGUGGGGUGACUA